RNAcentral lists this long non-coding RNA (285 nucleotides) under Phoenix dactylifera (date palm). RNAcentral's name for it is "long non-coding RNA (PDAC_LNC008407)". The record is from RNAcentral. Lineage: Eukaryota; Viridiplantae; Streptophyta; Magnoliopsida; Arecales; Arecaceae.
UAAAGUCUUAAUUAAUUUUGAUCUAAUAAAUUAAGAUAACUCCUAAUUGGAUUAGGAUUGAAGAGUUUAAUUGAGUCAAGAUUCAAAUGGGUCAUAAUUGGAUUAGGACUCAUAUGGAUAAGUCCUAAUUGAUUCAUAAAAUUGAUUGAGAUCUAAUUAGAUUAGACCUCAAUUGUGAGGGGAUUAAAAAGGGGCUGAAAGUGGGGCCCACGCACCUCAUGAGAUGAGGCUUGGGCGUGGGACAUGAGAGGAUUAGAGGGAGGGGCGUACGCCCCUCCUCUUGCC